This 805-nucleotide ribosomal RNA is filed under the name uncultured Pelagibacteraceae bacterium. RNAcentral describes it as "bacterial SSU rRNA". It matches the Rfam family "Bacterial small subunit ribosomal RNA", at positions 34 to 887 of the family's 1533-position model. Lineage: Bacteria; Pseudomonadati; Pseudomonadota; Alphaproteobacteria; Candidatus Pelagibacterales; Candidatus Pelagibacteraceae. The record is from RNAcentral.
CGCUGGCGGCACGCCUAACACAUGCAAGUCGAACGCAGUAGCAAUACUGAGUGGCAAACGGGUGAGUAUAAUGUGGGAAUCUGCCUUUUGGUUUGGAAUAACACGGGGAAACUUGUGCUAAUACCAAAUAAGCCCUUACGGGGAAAGUUUUAAUGCCAAAAGAUGAGCCCGCACUUGAUUAGCUAGUUGGUAAGGUAAAAGCUUACCAAGGCAACGAUCAAUAGCUGUUCUUAGAGGAAGACCAGCCACAUUGGGACUGAGACACGGCCCAGACUCCUACGGGAGGCAGCAGUGGGGAAUCUUGCACAAUGGGGGAAACCCUGAUGCAGCGAUGCCGCGUGAGUGAAGAAGGCCCUUGGGUUGUAAAACUCUUUCGUCGGGGAAGAAAAUGACUGUACCCGAAUAAGAAGGUCCGGCUAACUUCGUGCCAGCAGCCGCGGUAAUACGAAGGGACCUAGCGUAGUUCGGAAUUACUGGGCUUAAAGAGCUCGUAGGUGGUUAAAAAAGUUGAUGGUGAAAUCCCAAGGCUCAACCUUGGAACUGCCAUCAAAACUUUUUAGCUAGAGUGUGAUAGAGGUAAGUGGAAUUUCUAGUGUAGAGGUGAAAUUCGUAGAUAUUAGAAAGAACACCAAAUGCGAAGGCAACUUACUGGGUCACUACUGACACUGAGGAGCGAAAGCAUGGGUAGCGAAGAGGAUUAGAUACCCUCGUAGUCCAUGCCGUAAACGAUGUGUGCUAGACGUUGGAAAUAUAUUUUUCAGUGUCGCAGCGAAAGCAUUAAGCACACCGCCUGGGGAGUACGACC